This 274-nucleotide ribosomal RNA is filed under the name uncultured bacterium. Its description in RNAcentral is "partial 16S ribosomal RNA". It matches the Rfam family "Bacterial small subunit ribosomal RNA", at positions 523 to 796 of the family's 1533-position model. The record is from RNAcentral.
AUACGGAGGGAGCGAGCGUUAAUCGGAAUUACUGGGCGUAAAGCGUGCGUAGGCGGUUUGCUAAGUCAGAUGAGAAAGCCCCGGGCUUAACCUGGGAACUGCAUUUGAUACUGGCAGACUAGAGUAUGAUAGAGGGGGGUAGAAUUCCUGGUGUAGCGGUGAAAUGCGUAGAUAUCAGGAGGAAUACCAGUGGCGAAGGCGGCCCCCUGGAUCAAUACUGACGCUGAGGUACGAAAGCGUGGGGAGCGAACAGGAUUAGAAACCCUAGUAGUCC